This 187-nucleotide non-coding RNA is filed under the name Bacillus gobiensis. Lineage: Bacteria; Bacillati; Bacillota; Bacilli; Caryophanales; Bacillaceae. The record is from RNAcentral.
GAAUAUGAUAUGAGUGAAGGUAUGCAUUGUUUUGCAUUGUAUUUAAAAGGGAAGACUGGUGAAAUUCCAGCACGGACCCGCCACUGUAAGUGAGGAGAUAUCUAGCAAGAGCCACUGUGAAAAACGGGAAGGCGCUAGACAUUGUUAAUUCACAAGUCAGGAGACCUGCCUUCAAUUGAAAGCCAAA